Long non-coding RNA from Octodon degus (degu), 245 nucleotides. RefSeq lists it as uncharacterized. The transcript is spliced from 3 exons. Lineage: Eukaryota; Metazoa; Chordata; Mammalia; Rodentia; Octodontidae. The record is from RefSeq and is a predicted model, not a curated record.
AGUAUGUCCUCUUGAUGGAUUCCCUGACAAUAAACAAUUAAUGCCACCAGAAAGCAGAGGCAAACACCAGAUAUGGUAUUUUCCUCUAAGAAAACUGACAGCAUUUGUUGUGGUGUAGAUGGAACACAACAUCUCCCCAGAGCCUCAUGCUAACAGAGAUUUGCUUGCUGUUCAGGCACCUCAAGUGAACAUUCUCUGAAGAGGGCUCAGGCCUCACAAAGAAGGGCACAGGAGGGAAAGGACCC